This 505-nucleotide unclassified non-coding RNA is filed under the name uncultured Glomus. RNAcentral's name for it is "SSU rRNA". It matches the Rfam family "Eukaryotic small subunit ribosomal RNA", at positions 569 to 1079 of the family's 1831-position model. Lineage: Eukaryota; Fungi; Glomeromycota; Glomeromycetes; Glomerales; Glomeraceae. The record is from RNAcentral.
AGCAGCCGCGGUAAUUCCAGCUCCAAUAGCGUAUAUUAAAGUUGUUGCAGUUAAAAGCUCGUAGUUGAAUUUCGGGGUUAGUAGAUUGGUCGUGCCACUGGUAUGUACUGGUCUUACUGAUUCCUCCUUCCUGAUGAACCGUAAUGCCAUUAAUUUGGUGUUGCGGGGAGACUGGACUGUUACUUUGAAAAAUUAGAGUGUUUAAAGCAGGCUAACGCUUGAAUACAUUAGCAUGGAAUAAUGAAAUAGGACGUUCGAUCCUAUUUUGUUGGUUUCUAGGAUUGACGUAAUGAUUAAUAGGGAUAGUUGGGGGCAUUAGUAUUCAAUUGUCAGAGGUGAGAUUCUUGGAUUUAUUGAAGACUAACUACUGCGAAAGCAUUUGCCAAGGAUGUUUUCAUUAAUCAAGAACGAAAGUUAGGGAUCGAAGACGAUCAGAUACCGUCGUAGUCUUAACCAUAAACUAUGCCGACUAGAGAUCGGAUGAUGUUAAUUUUUAAUGACUCAU